RNAcentral lists this ribosomal RNA (460 nucleotides) under uncultured bacterium. Its description in RNAcentral is "partial 16S ribosomal RNA". It matches the Rfam family "Bacterial small subunit ribosomal RNA", at positions 338 to 795 of the family's 1533-position model. The record is from RNAcentral.
CCUACGGGAGGCAGCAGUGAGGAAUCUUUGUCAAUGGACGAGAGUCUGAACCAGCCAAGUCGCGUGAAGGAUGACUGCCCUACGGGUUGUAAACUUCUUUUAUCUGGGAAUAAAAUGUUCCACGUGUGGGAUUUUGUAUGUACCAUAUGAAUACGGAUCGGCUAACUCCGUGCAAGCAGCCGCGGUAAUACGGAGGAGCCGAGCGUUGUCCGUAUUUGUUGGGUGUAAAGGGCGCGUAGGUGGAUUGUUAAGGCAGUUGUGAAAGGUUGGGGCUCAACCGUAAAAUUGCAGUUGAAACUGGCAGUCUUGAGUACAGUAGAGGUGAGCGGAAUUCGUGGUGUAGCGGUGAAAUGCUUAGAUAUCACGAAGAACUCCGAUUGCGAAGGCAGCUCACUGGACUGCAACUGACACUGAGGCUCGAAAGUGUGGGUAGCAAACAGGAUUAGAUACCCUUGUAGUC